GACGAACGCUGGCGGCGUGCUUAACACAUGCAAGUCGAACGGAAAGGCCCUGCUUUUGUGGGGUGCUCGAGUGGCGAACGGGUGAGUAACACGUGAGUAACCUGCCCUUGACUUUGGGAUAACUUCAGGAAACUGGGGCUAAUACCGGAUAGGAGCUCCUGCUGCAUGGUGGGGGUUGGAAAGUUUCGGCGGUUGGGGAUGGACUCGCGGCUUAUCAGCUUGUUGGUGGGGUAGUGGCUUACCAAGUCUUUGACGGGUAGCCGGCCUGGGAGGGUGACCGGCCACAUUGGGACUGCGAGACGGCCCAGACUCCUACGGGAGGCAGCAGUGGGGAAUAUUGCACAGUGGGCGGAAGCCUGAUGCAGCAACGCCGCGUGCGGGAUGACGGCCUUCGGGUUGUAAACCGCUUUCGCCUGUGACGAAGCGUGAGUGACGGUAAUGGGUAAAGAAGCCCCGGCUAACUACGUG
Molecule: ribosomal RNA, 468 nt
Filed under: uncultured bacterium
Lineage: Bacteria
Description: partial 16S ribosomal RNA
Rfam family: Bacterial small subunit ribosomal RNA
Source: RNAcentral